RNAcentral lists this ribosomal RNA (554 nucleotides) under bacterium 84-L049642-122-014-D11. RNAcentral's name for it is "bacterial SSU rRNA". It matches the Rfam family "Bacterial small subunit ribosomal RNA", at positions 57 to 607 of the family's 1533-position model. The record is from RNAcentral.
GCAGUCGAACGGUAACAGGGAGCUUGCUCCGCUGACGAGUGGCGAACGGGUGAGUAAUAUAUCGGAACGUACCCAAGAGUGGGGGAUAACGUAGCGAAAGUUACGCUAAUACCGCAUACGAUCUAUGGAUGAAAGCAGGGGACCUUCGGGCCUUGUGCUCCUGGAGCGGCCGAUAUCUGAUUAGCUAGUUGGUGAGGUAAAGGCUCACCAAGGCGACGAUCAGUAGCUGGUCUGAGAGGACGACCAGCCACACUGGAACUGAGACACGGUCCAGACUCCUACGGGAGGCAGCAGUGGGGAAUUUUGGACAAUGGGCGCAAGCCUGAUCCAGCAAUGCCGCGUGAGUGAAGAAGGCCUUCGGGUUGUAAAGCUCUUUUGUCAGGGAAGAAACGGGAUAGGCUAAUAUCCUUUCCUAAUGACGGUACCUGAAGAAUAAGCACCGGCUAACUACGUGCCAGCAGCCGCGGUAAUACGUAGGGUGCAAGCGUUAAUCGGAAUUACUGGGCGUAAAGCGUGCGCAGGCGGUUUUGUAAGUCUGUCGUGAAAUCCCCGGG